This 497-nucleotide ribosomal RNA is filed under the name uncultured bacterium. RNAcentral describes it as "partial 16S ribosomal RNA". It matches the Rfam family "Bacterial small subunit ribosomal RNA", at positions 38 to 507 of the family's 1533-position model. The record is from RNAcentral.
GGGGGGGGGGGGCGGGGUGGCUGGGGCAGGCGGGGCGGGGGGACAGGCGAGGAGGUUGCUCGUGUGGCGGUAGGGGGGGGCGGGUGAGUAGCACGUGGGUAACCUCCCUAUAAGACUGGGAUAACUUCGGUAGACCGGAGCUAAUACCGGAUACUAUAGUGAAACGCAUGGUUAAAUAGUGAAAGACGGUUUUGCUGUCACGUAUAGAUGGCUCCGCGCCGCAUUAGCUAUUUGGUAAGGUACCGGCUUACCAAGGCAACGAUGCGUAGCCGACCUGAGAGGGUGAUCGGCCACACUGGAACUGAGACACGGUCCAGACUCCUACGGGAGGCAGCAGUAGGGAAUCUUCCGCAAUGGGCGAAAGCUUGACGGAGCAACGCCGCGUGAGUGAUGAAGGUCUUCGGAUCGUAAAACUCUGUUAUUAGGGAAGAACAAAUGUGUAAGUAACUAUGCACGUCUUGACGGUACCUAAUCAGAAAGCCACGGCUAACUACGUG